AUGUCCGGAUCCAACCUUCAAGGCCGGUGGAUGACCUCCUCUAUCAUAGAGGAGGACAUUGCGAAGCCCAGGGAGGCCAGGUAUCUGACCGCCGACAUCAAGCACAGGCUUCCUGCCCAAGGGCAGGUCAUCCCCACUCCCAAACCCAACGAGAGCGUUGUAUUUGUUUCCCACUUCCUCCGAGGCUUAGGCUUUAGUCUUGAUCCUUUCGUGAGAGGGCUCAUGUUCUAUUACGGGCUAGAUUUUCACGAUCUAGCUCCGGAUUCCAUCCUUCACAUCUCGUCGUUCAUCGUCGUGUGCGAAGCCUUCCUCCACAUCACCCUACACUUCGACUUAUGGCUCAAGACCUUCAAUGUAAAGCUGAAGGUGAUCGACGGGCGACACGCGAUGUGCAGGGGCGCUAUAAUAAGCAAAAGCACCGAUGUUCCAUGGCCAGAAGGUUCCUCCCCGGAGGUGUCCGAUUUGUGGCAACAGAGGUGGUUCUACAUCACAGCUCCUCGAGGCACAAAGUGGGCGGCUGCCCCCGCCUUCCGCUCGGGCCCUCCGCCUCAACUGGCGUCAUGGACCAACGUGGGACCAGACUGGGGGCCUGCUAAUGACGUACCAACAUUGCAGAGCCGUAUUCGGGAGCUUCUUGAGGGGGAUAUCAGCCUCAUCAAAGUAAUUCAGGUAAUGCUAGUUCGACGGGCCUUGCCGUGCAAACGUCGACCUCUCCGGAUGUGGGAGUUCAACCCAGAAGGACCGCGAACAAUUCAGCACUUCUUCGGCAUGACGCUCGAAGGGAUGUAUAGGUUAUUCUUCGGACCACACGUGAAGUGUUCGGACACCACCGAGGAUGUGGGUUUGAACUACAAUCGUCCAGAUACCCAAGUAAGUAACCCUGCAACCGAGCACUCUGUUCAUAUUUAUCACAACAUUAUUCUGAAAACUAUCCGUGGCCAAGAUUGGCUUAGCAAGGCGGAGAGGAUCAGGUGUCCGGCCCCGCUUCCUGAAGGCUCGCCGAAUCCUGCGUUAACCAGGAUGCUUAGACGCGCGCUGAAUCAAGUGCCAUCGGAGAAGGAUGAAGGGAAGAGUAAAGAAGCCGAGAACGAGCUUCAUACAUUGUACAUCCAAACCGGGGGGAUUAAUGACUCUACAAAGGAGGAUAAUCGGGGAGGUGAAUCUAAGGUUCGCUCCCCCCGCGGGAAGAAAAGGGCCGUCUCCGAAGACUUGGAAGCGGAGGUGCCUAAACAAGGGAAGAAAACUUCGCCAGGGGGCCCUGCCCCAGAGGGCGUCCUCACCGCGCAACGCCCGCAAACGGGCCAACCCUCCACCGAGCUGUAA
Molecule: ribosomal RNA, 1323 nt
Filed under: Triticum aestivum (bread wheat)
Lineage: Eukaryota; Viridiplantae; Streptophyta; Magnoliopsida; Poales; Poaceae
Description: partial small subunit ribosomal RNA
Source: RNAcentral